GAUGAACGCUGGCGGCGUGCCUAAUACAUGCAAGUCGAGCGAACGGACGAGAAGCUUGCUUCUCUGAUGUUAGCGGCGGACGGGUGAGUAACACGUGGAUAACCUACCUAUAAGACUGGGAUAACUUCGGGAAACCGGAGCUAAUACCGGAUGAUAUUUUGAACCGCAUGGUUCAAAAGUGAAAGACGGUCUUGCUGUCACUUAUAGAUGGAUCCGCGCUGCAUUAGCUAGUUGGUAAGGUAACGGCUUACCAAGGCAACGAUGCAUAGCCGACCUGAGAGGGUGAUCGGCCACACUGGAACUGAGACACGGUCAGACUCCUACGGGAGGCAGCAGUAGGGAAUCUUCCGCAAUGGGCGAAAGCCUGACGGAGCAACGCCGCGUGAGUGAUGAAGGUCUUCGGAUCGUAAAACUCUGUUAUUAGGGAAGAACAUAUGUGUAAGUAACUGUGCACAUCUUGACGGUACCUAAUCAGAAAGCCACGGCUAACUACGUG
Molecule: ribosomal RNA, 496 nt
Filed under: uncultured bacterium
Lineage: Bacteria
Description: partial 16S ribosomal RNA
Rfam family: Bacterial small subunit ribosomal RNA
Source: RNAcentral